This 406-nucleotide ribosomal RNA is filed under the name uncultured bacterium. RNAcentral describes it as "partial 16S ribosomal RNA". It matches the Rfam family "Bacterial small subunit ribosomal RNA", at positions 30 to 526 of the family's 1533-position model. The record is from RNAcentral.
AUUGAACGCUGGCGGCAGGCCUAACACAUGCAAGUCGAGCGAGCGGCGGACGGGUGAGUAAUGUCUGGGAAACUGCCUGAUGGAGGGGGAUAACUACUGGAAACGGUAGCUAAUACCGCAUACCAUCAGAUGUGCCCAGAUGGGAUUUGCGAGUAGGUGGGGUAAUGGCUCACCUAGGCGCCGAUCCAUAGCUGGUCUGAGAGGAUGACCAGCCACACUGGACCUGGGCCACGGUCCAGACGCCUACGGGAGGCAGCAGUGGGGAAUAUUGCACAUUGGGGGCAAGCCUGAUGCAGCCAUGCCGCGUGUAUGAAGAAGGCCUUCGGGGUGUAAAGUACGUUCAGCGAGGAGGCGUUACUCGCAGAAGAAGCACCGGCUAACUCCGUGCCAGCAGCCGCGGUAAUUC